UCUGUGGGAGGAGUCACUCAUCCACUUUAUAAAAGCAGUACUUUCAACCUGAUUCACCACCACACUAUCUGUCAUUCACUCAUCUGAUGAAGAUUAUCCUGCGAUCGUUCAGGAAUGGAAUCCACAUGUCGCUUAUACAUCAGCCUUCCGAAAGAACACGAGGAAACUUUUGAAGAAAAAUUUGGAGAAUGGGACUAUGGGAUUGUUGUUACAGAUUUGAAUCCAUGUUUGACAGAUGUUGAUCUUCGUGCCUACUUUCAUAGGUUUGGGACAAUAACAGAAUGUGUUAUCAAUACAGACGAGUCAUCAGGUUGCCCAAAGGGUGUGGGGUUUGUGAGAUAUUCAUCUUCAGAUCAGGCUGAAGCACCUCUAACAAAUGAUUCACACUAUCUUGGAGGCUUUCAGGUGAAAAUACGCAAAGUUUGUACACCAAAGAUGAAUCAAAGUUAAUUUUACAGAGCUGCUGAAAUAUCAUCAUGCACCACCAACCUUCAUAUGCUGUACAAAGUGUUUGAUAUCAAACCUCUUUUUCUUGUUUCUUUCACAGAAAUGUGAAAUAACUGAUUCUGUAUAUAAUAACAAUUUAGUGUCAGAUUUUAAUUACAUUUAUAUUGCUUGGAUAUUUUAUUAUGAUUCAAUGCCAAUGACAUAGUAAAUUAAUUCUCCCAACACUUUUGAGUUGCCAGAUUGGUUUAAUAGCACAUUAAGAGAGAAUUCUAUGAUCUUCAAGAGAACUAACAAAGACAACAGAUAUUUCACCGUAUAUGAGGCCAGACAGCAUAUAGUGAGGUUAUCUGGUAAAUCUGAAUUAAACUUUUUUGUGAUUCAGUCACUCAGUAAAUUAAUUGUAGUCAUUUAAUUUAACACUGAAGUGCAGAGAGAGUUGUUUCACCUUCAUCUCAUUUAUUUCUGCCCAGAUGUGAAAACUGUGCUCUUAGCUUGUCAAAAAACACAGAACAAUGUCAUUUUUUGCCAUGUUAUUUUAUUAAACUUCUUCUGAUGAGUCUUUUCUUAUCACAAUGUGUACAAAAUCUGGUAGGCUACAGUGGUCCAGAGUAAGUGAAGAGUUUGGUUCCAAAACGCAAUAAACGCCAUUUUUGAAAAAAAUGAGUUACUGCCAAAAUCAGCAUUAUAUCAGGUCAGUAGUUAAAAGUAAAUUCUUAAUUUUACGCAAAAUCCAAUAUCCGCCGUGUUAUUCUGUCAUCUUUUCUCCCUUUUUUCCCAAAAUGCGAUAAACGCCACUCCCACUUUUUUACAGAACGCAAUAAAUCCCACAGCGCACCAUUCACGCAAUGUAAACAAACAUGGCGGCACGCUGAGUACAUGGAGUCCUAGUUUUCCUCAUCUACUUUGUACUUUGUGAUCAACAAACAAAACAAAAUAAUACUUUAAUUGCAUUGAUAAACCUGUGAUGGUUUUCUGUGAUGGGAAAGAAACGUAAGCCAUCAGCAUCUAAUAAUUUCCCUGAGAGGCACUCGGGAGACGGGUGCUUGUUCUCCCGACAGCAUCAAGCUUCUCAUGCUAACACAUUGACCCCAGAGGAUCUUAUGAAAAACUUUACAUAAUUUUACUCAAAGUCAACGAAAAUCGAGCAGGACCAAAACAUUUUACAGCUGAUCUCUGUGAAAGACGUUAAGCGAAGACGUCAAGUAACCGCAAUGACAGUGAUCUUAAUAUGACAAAGUAAGUGUUUUGAUUAAUAACAUUAAUGUUUAUAUUUUUAAUUAGUGUGUACAACUAGUCAACUAAAUGAAUAUAACAUGGCAAAGAUGAAUGCACAUUUAUAUAGGCUAUUGGUUCAAUAGAUUUAUAGCAUUUUGAAUAAAAACUUGUCAUGGAUUUAUUGCAUUUUGUGGAAAAAAUAAUCCGUUUUUAUAAUAAAUCUUUGAAAAUCAACUUAUGGAUUUGAAUUUUUUAUGUUUUUAUAACCUAAAGAUGCUGUGUGAAAGUUUGUAACAGAAAAUAGUUGUUUUCAUCUUGUCACUUUCUUGGUAUAGAAAACACGUUUUUACCAAAAUUUGUCAAAAUGGAUUUAUUGCGUUUUGGAACCAAACUCUUCAAGUGCUUCUGUGAAAGACGGUCUGUCAUUUUAAAGCUGAUUUACCUGAAUUGUACAUCUUACUCAUUAAAACAUGUUUCUGUUUGCAAUAGUGAAUGCUAAUUAUGUCUUUGUUAUAGUCCAAGAUCCUCUGCUCAAUUAUUUACAGUUACAAUGCAAAGCUUUGAAACUAACUAGUAAAGCAAAAUGUACACAUUAACUUAUAUAUUUCAAAUUGCUGUCUGUAUAGCCAACCUGAUAAAAACAUGGACGUACUGAAGGUUCAUUGAAGUGUUGCUGUUCUUAGAUAUCAGUAUGAUCACACACGCGCGCACAUAUCACUGUACAGCCAGUGAUGGGAGAAAAGCUUCGAAUCAAUUGAACCAAUUGCUUCACAAAAUGAUUCACUCUUUCGAAGCAUUAGAAACACUAUAAGCUUUUGCUCGCCUUUGUAUGCUGCGCACCUCUGGCGCAACUACAAAAAGAAGAGCAUGCAGGCUUUGGUGGUGGCAUAUAAUGACUCCUUUAGAAUGCUAUUGAAAGAACCGCGGAACAACAGUGCGAGUGAGAUGUUUGCUAACAGUGGUAUAAGAUCUUGUGCAGCUAACAUUAGACAUUGUAUCUAUACAUUUAUGUGUAGAAUUCAGAAUCAAUCAAACUGUAUUGUUCAAGCCCUGGUAUGUCCGAAGAAAAGUUCGAUCAGGUUUACUUCAAGAAUUUGGAAGCACUGGCGCUCCUCUUUAUGUAUAAAUAAUGUAUAGUAUUUUUCUAUUUUUGCAUUUAUGGUAAAUUCUUAUACUUGUUUUGUAAGCUUUUCUUUUUAAUACUAUGGACCAGGAUUUUGUGUCCUUAAUAAAGAUUUAAUAAUAUACACGCUGGCGACACCUGCUGGUCAAAGUGUGUAAAGGCAACGAAAUCUUAUCACCUUCUAUAAACAAUUGCAUGUAUAUUCACAACAGUCACAGUUUAACACUUUCAAUAAAAUGUACAAAUCAUGAAAUAUCAUUAAAUAUUAGUAUUAUUCAGGUUGUCAGGUUUUUACGGCACCUAUUAUACAAAAAAACUUUAAAUGUCAAAACCAUGGUUAUUUUGUGGUUACCAUGGUUUUACUACAGUUUUUUUAACUGUAGUAAAGCCAUGGUUAAUUUGCCCAGCAAACACAUGACACUUCAUUUUUUUAACGUUCAUAAAAAUAAAACUCACCCGAAAAUUAGUAAAGGAUA
Long non-coding RNA from Misgurnus anguillicaudatus (oriental weatherfish), 3261 nucleotides. RefSeq lists it as uncharacterized. NCBI's taxonomy places the organism in Eukaryota, Metazoa, Chordata, Actinopteri, Cypriniformes, Cobitidae. The record is from RefSeq and is a predicted model, not a curated record.